GUCAAAGCUGCUUCGGAAUGAAUGACGAGAAGAUUGUUUAUACACACGACUGGCUCACACCACCAUAACUCUUUCUGUGACAGCUGUCACAAUAGGAGCUAGAUACGCGGAAAUGAGGUUAUUCGGCGCUGCCAACAUUAAUCGAAACACGAGUCUACAUUUGUUUCAUGUUAAAAUAUGGAGAAUGCGAAAAAUACAGCUUAAAAGAAGUAUCUAAUGUUACUUCUGCAUCGGUGAAAUCUGCAGGAAAGUGUCUGAUGAUUAGUGACUAUUUCGGAUUGAAGAUCGGAAGCUUUUUGCCGUCUAUUUCGAUCGCGCGCACAAAUUCCCGCUUAUUUCGAAUUUCGAUUGCGCGCGCAAACUGUCGCCAUGACUACGAUGCGAGUCUCGCGGGUACGUGAACGCGGCAAUCGACGCGAUCGCGUAUAUUUUACCGAAUUUUUUCGAAUUUAGCGAUGUGAGAGUGACGAAAGUGCAUAGAAUUUGCGAAUUGAAAUGCCGCGAAACCGAAGUAAUAAAAGGUUUCCGUGGAGAACGCGAUAAUAUCAUGUAAUCCGGAAAAUUGUCCGUCGCGCGUUUCGCGAUUGCUGUCCCAAAAAAUAUUCGCGUUGCGACAGAACAUUUAGAGGAGGAAGAGGACUUCCAGGAGGAAUUCAGGAUCUCCUAUCGAAUAUCGAGGAACUGAAAUCUCGUCUGCAGCAGUGACGAAAAAGAAUCCAAUUGCGUCAGAAAAAUAUUUUGGCCAUGAGAGGUCACAGAGAGGCACGAAGACUGUUGGUGAUUACUCGCGAACAUAAACACAUAAACGUUAAUUAACGCGUAAUUGAUCGCUCGUGAGCCGCUGUU
Cataglyphis hispanica is the source of this 846-nucleotide long non-coding RNA. RefSeq lists it as uncharacterized. The transcript has 4 exons. Lineage: Eukaryota; Metazoa; Arthropoda; Insecta; Hymenoptera; Formicidae. The record is from RefSeq and is a predicted model, not a curated record.